This is a small nuclear RNA of Elaeis guineensis (African oil palm), 108 nucleotides long. The record is from RefSeq and is a predicted model, not a curated record. Lineage: Eukaryota; Viridiplantae; Streptophyta; Magnoliopsida; Arecales; Arecaceae.
GUCUCCUUAGAGACAUAUGAUAAAAUUGGAACAAUACAGAGAAGAUUAGCAUGGUCACCCUCACAAGGAUGACACUCACAAGUCGAGAAAAAACUAAAAAGCACUCUU